CCUUCCGUAGGUGAACCUGCGGAAGGAUCAUUACCGAGUGCGGGCCCCUCGGGGCCCAACCUCCCACCCGUGUUGCCCGAACCUAUGUUGCCUCGGCGGGCCCCGCGCCCGCCGACGGCCCCCCUGAACGCUGUCUGAAGUUGCAGUCUGAGACCUAUAACGAAAUUAGUUAAAACUUUCAACAACGGAUCUCUUGGUUCCGGCAUCGAUGAAGAACGCAGCGAAAUGCGAUAACUAAUGUGAAUUGCAGAAUUCAGUGAAUCAUCGAGUCUUUGAACGCACAUUGCGCCCUCUGGUAUUCCGGAGGGCAUGCCUGUCCGAGCGUCAUUGCUGCCCUCAAGCCCGGCUUGUGUGUUGGGCCCCGUCCCCCCCGCCGGGGGGACGGGCCCGAAAGGCAGCGGCGGCACCGCGUCCGGUCCUCGAGCGUAUGGGGCUUCGUCACCCGCUCUAGUAGGCCCGGCCGGCGCCAGCCGACCCCCAACCUUUAAUUAUCUCAGGUGACCUCGAUCAGUAGUUCCC
RNAcentral lists this unclassified non-coding RNA (519 nucleotides) under Penicillium citrinum. RNAcentral describes it as "partial contains ITS1, 5.8S rRNA and ITS2". The stretch from base 174 to 327 matches the Rfam family "5.8S ribosomal RNA". The record is from RNAcentral. Lineage: Eukaryota; Fungi; Ascomycota; Eurotiomycetes; Eurotiales; Aspergillaceae.